UACGUAGGGGGCAAGCGUUGUCCGGAAUCAUUGGGCGUAAAGAGCUCGUAGGCGGCUUAGUAAGUCGGGUGUGAAACCUCCAGGCUCAACCUGGAGACGCCACCCGAUACUGCUGUGGCUAGAGUCCGGUAGGGGAGCGUGGAAUUCCUGGUGUAGCGGUGAAAUGCGCAGAUAUCAGGAGGAACACCGGUGGCGAAGGCGGGUCUCUGGGCCGAUACUGACGCUGAGGAGCGAAAGCGUGGGGAGCGAACAGG
Molecule: ribosomal RNA, 254 nt
Filed under: uncultured bacterium
Lineage: Bacteria
Description: partial 16S ribosomal RNA
Rfam family: Bacterial small subunit ribosomal RNA
Source: RNAcentral